Molecule: ribosomal RNA, 439 nt
Filed under: uncultured bacterium
Lineage: Bacteria
Description: bacterial SSU rRNA
Rfam family: Bacterial small subunit ribosomal RNA
Source: RNAcentral
ACUCCUACGGGAGGCAGCAGUAGGGAAUCUUCCACAAUGGGCGGCAAGCCUGAUGGAGCAACACCGCGUGAGUGAAGAAGGGUUUCGGCUCGUAAAGCUCUGUUGUUAAAGAAGAACACGUAUGAGAGUAACUGUUCAUACGUUGACGGUAUUUAACCAGAAAGUCACGGCUAACUACGUGCCAGCAGCCGCGGUAAUACGUAGGUGGCAAGCGUUAUCCGGAUUUAUUGGGCGUAAAGAGAGUGCAGGCGGUUUUCUAAGUCUGAUGUGAAAGCCUUCGGCUUAACCGGAGAAGUGCAUCGGAAACUGGAUAACUUGAGUGCAGAAGAGGUAGUGGAACUCCAUGUGUAGCGGUGGAAUGCGUAGAUAUAUGGAAGAACACCAGUGGCGAAGGCGGCUACCUGGUCUGCAACUGACGCUGAGACUCGAAAGCAUGGGU